AACAUUUGCUGGUGAUUGUUUGUAGUUAAUGAAACAAAGAUACUUUUUUUUAUCAUUUCUCAUGAUUGUGUAUCAUAAUAGGAGAAAAAGUUAUUUACAAAAAAAGGUCAAGACCGAAUAAAAUGAUCACUUCAACCGGAGAAUUAUUUACAAAAGAUCUCAGGUAUCCGAAGAAAUCUUACCAUCAAACCAACAGGCGCAUUUAGUGCGCAGUUGGCUGGUUGUGUUAGGUGAUUGUUUAAAGCUCUACAGAAUUCCUAAACGACGCCAAGGAUUGGUCAUGUAUAUUAGUUCCUUGAAACACUGCGUUUUAACCGUUGUUGACGAGCUUUCUUUGUUUUAAAGUUGUUGGUUGUUUGCAGAACGUGCGUCUGGAGUUAAACCAGUGAUGUGUACAGACUGAUAAGUAUAUUUUGCUGGAACUAUUUCGUUCAUUUAAAGUGCAACAAUUUUAAUUAGUAAGGAAUUAAUUAGCUUAAUUACUUACACAAUUUCAUCCUUCUCUUGAAGUUCGAUAUUUUUUUCUUCAAUACUAAACUGUCAUUUUAUAUUUGUGUUUUUAAAACACGGACUCAUUAGUGGUAACGCUCGCUGUAUUUUCAGGGUAUUUAUGUUUCCAAGAAAAUUGUGAUUUGUGGGUCAGUUCUCCUGAGUCCUCCAGCAGUUGAGUGCUAUAAAGCCAAAACUCUAUCUGGCAGAUAAACAGAUCUAAAUCAUCGGUGUUACCGAACUUUAUGUUUAUAAAAUACCAGCCGAGACCCAAACGUUUCGUUUAACGAACAGGUUGUUCUGAACACUAGCAAGAAUUUGUGUCCUACCUAAAAGAGGUUACCGGCCUUUAUCUGCCUAAACAAUGGAAACCUGCUUUGGGUCUCUGACAGACACUCAAGUGAGAGAGCUCAAGGCAGCGUUUGACCUUUUAGAUAAGAAUAAAGAUGGACGAGUAAACGCCAGUGAAAUCAAGUGUAUGUUAGAAAAGCUAAGAAUAUUUCUCACUGACGCUAUGGUUCAUCAUUUAGUUCAACAGGCUACCAAAAGAGAUGACGGUCUCAUCAGCGAAGAUGAGUUUCUGUCAUGGAUGGCCCGUCACCAAAACACAAUGAAAGAUGACGUCAUGGAAGAUCUCCUCGCCGCCUUCAGGGUUUUCGACAAAGACAAAAACGGUUUUAUCAGUAGGGAUGAAUUACGAGUUGCAAUGGAGAUGAUUGGUGAACCAAUGUCAGAAGUUCAACUCGACGAGAUGAUAAAAAUUACGGACAUAGACAACGACGGAAGAAUAAAUUAUGAAGAAUUUGUUCGAAUCUUGCUGUAAGAAAACACAGCACUAUGUGAACAUCACCAGCACAGUUCCUUAUUUUUUUACCGGACCUAUAUUCAAUGGUAAACGUACUUUUUUGGAAUAGCAAUAUUUUACACUGGAGAAUCCUUUAACUCUGAGUUACCCACCACAAUGUUAUGAAUGAAAAACAUAAACUCCCAAAAUGUAAAGUAUUUACACGUUUCAGAUUUCCGUUCACUGCUGUAGUAACUAAACAACUGAGAAACAGGGCAACCCUUUUUGUUCAUUAGUUUUAAAGAAUAUUUACAUACUGAUUGAAUGUAUAAAUUAUAUACAUCAAGUGAUCCAAAUCCCUUAAAAUAUGCACAAAAACGCAUUUUCGAUGUAUAUAAUGGUUAUAAUUUAGAUUAUAGUACUGUAGUUCUUGACAUGGAUUUAUAGAAUGUUUAUGUUUGAGUUCAUGUGAUUUACUUGUAGUUAAGGUUAUGUAUUUAUUUAAU
RNAcentral lists this unclassified non-coding RNA (1779 nucleotides) under Limulus polyphemus (Atlantic horseshoe crab). RNAcentral's name for it is "calcium-binding protein E63-1-like, transcript variant X2". The record is from RNAcentral. Lineage: Eukaryota; Metazoa; Arthropoda; Merostomata; Xiphosura; Limulidae.